RNAcentral lists this ribosomal RNA (489 nucleotides) under uncultured bacterium. RNAcentral's name for it is "partial 16S ribosomal RNA". It matches the Rfam family "Bacterial small subunit ribosomal RNA", at positions 30 to 507 of the family's 1533-position model. The record is from RNAcentral.
UUGAACGCUGGCGGCAGGCCUAACCCAUGCCAGUCGAACGGUAACAGAAAGCAGCUUGCUGCUUUGCUGACGAGUGGCGGACGGGUGAGUAAUGUCUGGGAAACUGCCUGAUGGAGGGGGAUAACUACUGGAAACGGUAGCUAAUACCGCAUAACGUCGCAAGACCAAAGAGGGGGACCUUCGGGCCUCUUGCCAUCGGAUGUGCCCAGAUGGGAUUAGCUAGUAGGUGGGGUAACGGCUCACCUAGGCGACGAUCCCUAGCUGGUCUGAGAGGAUGACCAGCCACACUGGAACUGAGACACGGUCCAGACUCCUACGGGAGGCAGCAGUGGGGAAUAUUGCACAAUGGGCGCAAGCCUGAUGCAGCCAUGCCGCGUGUAUGAAGAAGGCCUUCGGGUUGUAAAGUACUUUCAGCGGGGAGGAAGGGAGUAAAGUUAAUACCUUUGCUCAUUGACGUUACCCGCAGAAGAAGCACCGGCUAACUCCGUG